GACGCUGGAGCCAGACGGUACGGCGGCGGUUUGCAGAACCGCAUCAAGUGGGUUCGACUCCCACCGGCGUCU
This 72-nucleotide transfer RNA is filed under the name Planctomycetota bacterium. Its description in RNAcentral is "Planctomycetes bacterium (marine metagenome) tRNA-Cys". It matches the Rfam family "tRNA". From Rfam's summary of the family: Transfer RNA (tRNA) molecules are approximately 80 nucleotides in length. Their secondary structure includes four short double-helical elements and three loops (D, anti-codon, and T loops). The record is from RNAcentral. RNAcentral also lists the same sequence under 1 other name. Lineage: Bacteria; Pseudomonadati; Planctomycetota.